UACAGAGGGUGCGAGCGUUAAUCGGAAUUACUGGGCGUAAAGGGUGCGUAGGCGGAUGAUUAAGUUAGAUGUGAAAUCCCCGGGCUUAACCUGGGAAUUGCAUUUAAGACUGGUUGACUAGAGUAGAGUAGAGGGAAGUGGAAUUUCCGGUGUAGCGGUGAAAUGCGUAGAUAUCGGAAAGAACAUCAGUGGCGAAGGCGGCUUCCUGGACUCAUACUGACGCUGAGGCACGAAAGCAUGGGGAGCAAACAGG
Molecule: ribosomal RNA, 253 nt
Filed under: uncultured bacterium
Lineage: Bacteria
Description: partial 16S ribosomal RNA
Rfam family: Bacterial small subunit ribosomal RNA
Source: RNAcentral